GAUGAACGCUGGCGGCGUGCCUAAUACAUGCAAGUCGAGCGAACGGACGAGAAGCUUGCUUUUCUGAAGUUAGCGGCGGACGGGUGAGUAACACGUGGAUAACCUACCUAUAAGACUGGGAUAACUUCGGGAAACCGGAGCUAAUACCGGAUAAUAUUUUGAACCGCAUGGUUCAAAAGUGAAAGACGGUCUUGCUGUCACUUAUAGAUGGAUCCGCGCUGCAUUAGCUAGUUGGUAAGGUAACGGCGUACCAAGGCAACGAUGCAUAGCCGACCUGAGAGGGUGAUCGGCCCCACCGGAACUGAGCCGCGGUCCAGACUCCUACGGGAGGCAGCAGUAGGGAAUGUUCCGCAAUGGGCGAAAGCCUGACGGAGCACCGCCGCGUGAGUUAUGAAGGUCUUCGGAUCGUAAAACUCUGCUAUUAGGGAAGAACAGAUGUGUGAGUAACUGUGCACACCUUGACGGUACCUAAUCAGAAAGCAACGGCUAACUACGUG
RNAcentral lists this ribosomal RNA (497 nucleotides) under uncultured bacterium. RNAcentral describes it as "partial 16S ribosomal RNA". It matches the Rfam family "Bacterial small subunit ribosomal RNA", at positions 28 to 507 of the family's 1533-position model. The record is from RNAcentral.